RNAcentral lists this ribosomal RNA (480 nucleotides) under uncultured bacterium. RNAcentral's name for it is "partial 16S ribosomal RNA". It matches the Rfam family "Bacterial small subunit ribosomal RNA", at positions 28 to 507 of the family's 1533-position model. The record is from RNAcentral.
GAUGAACGCUAGCGGCAGGCCUAACACAUGCAAGUCGAGGGAGAGGUUACCUUCGGGUCACCAAAACCGGCGCACGGGUGCGUAACGCGUAUACAAUCUUCCUUUCACAUAGGGAUAGCCCGAAGAAAUUUGGAUUAAUACCUAAUGGUAUAUAAAAGCGGCAUCGUUUUUAUAUUAAAGCUACGGUAGUGAAAGAUGAGUAUGCGUUCUAUUAGCUAGUUGGAGAGGUAACGGCUCCCCAAGGCGACGAUAGAUAGGGGUUCUGAGAGGGAUGUCCCCCACACUGGUACUGAGAUACGGACCAGAAUCCUACGGGAGGCAGCAGUGAGGAAUAUUGGACAAUGGUCGGAAGACUGAUCCAGCCAUGCCGCGUGCAGGAUGAAGGUCCUAUGGAUUGUAAACUGCUUUUGUAAGGGAAGAAUAAGAGCUACGGGUAGUUUGAUGACGGUACCUUACGAAUAAGCAUCGGCUAACUCCGUG